UAUGUAGAUGGCGAGCGUUAUCCGGAAUGACUGGGCGUAAAGGGUGCGUAGGCGGUUUAAUAAGUCAGAUGUGAAAGUCCCGUGCUUAACAUGGGGAUUGCAUUUGAAACUAUCAGACUUGAGUGCGGGAGAGGAAAGUGGAAUUCCUAGUGUAGCGGUGAAAUGCGUAGAUAUUAGGAGGAACACCAGUGGCGAAGGCGACUUUCUGGACCGUAACUGACGCUGAGGCACGAAAGCGUGGGGAGCAAACAGG
RNAcentral lists this ribosomal RNA (253 nucleotides) under uncultured prokaryote. RNAcentral's name for it is "partial 16S ribosomal RNA". It matches the Rfam family "Bacterial small subunit ribosomal RNA", at positions 524 to 776 of the family's 1533-position model. The record is from RNAcentral.